RNAcentral lists this ribosomal RNA (497 nucleotides) under uncultured bacterium. RNAcentral describes it as "partial 16S ribosomal RNA". It matches the Rfam family "Bacterial small subunit ribosomal RNA", at positions 28 to 507 of the family's 1533-position model. The record is from RNAcentral.
GAUGAACGCUGGCCGCGUGCCUAAUACAUGCAAGUCGAGCGAACAGACGAGGAGCUUGCUCCUCUGACGUUAGCGGCGGACGGGUGAGUAACACGUGGAUAACCUACCUAUAAGACUGGGAUAACUUCGGGAAACCGGAGCUAAUACCGGAUAAUAUAUUGAACCGCAUGGUUCAAUAGUGAAAGACGGUUUUGCUGUCACUUAUAGAUGGAUCCGCGCCACAUUAGCUAGUUGGUAAGGUAACGGCUUACCAAGGCAACGAUGCGUAGCCGACCUGAGAGGGUGAUCGGCCACACUGGAACUGAGACACGGUCGAGACUCCUACGGGAGGCAGCAGUAGGGAAUCUUGCGCAAUGGGCGAAAGCCUGACGGAGCAACGCCGCGUGAGUGAUGAAGGUCUUCGGAUCGUAAAACUCUGUUAUUAGGGAAGAACAAAUGUGUAAGUAACUAUGCACGUCUUGACGGUACCUAAUCAGAAAGCCACGGCUAACUACGUG